This 404-nucleotide long non-coding RNA is filed under the name Medicago truncatula (barrel medic). RNAcentral describes it as "long non-coding RNA (MTRU_LNC001216)". The record is from RNAcentral. Lineage: Eukaryota; Viridiplantae; Streptophyta; Magnoliopsida; Fabales; Fabaceae.
AUCGUUGUUCACUCACUUCACCCACCGGCAUCGUAUCGCGGAGGUUUUUAUUCCCCCAAAAUUCUUUUUCGUCUAACAAAUUUUACCUUGCAGUCUCUCUCUCUCGAAACCCUAACCCUAAUUCCUCAAUUCACAACCUUCCUUUCACUCUUUCAUUUCGCAGGUACUCUCACCCCUUAUUCUAAAACCCUAGAAUACUCUCUAUCUCCAAAUCUCUAUUAAUUUUAGGGUUAAUUAAUUUGCUUGAUUGAAUGAUUAAUUAAUUCAAUUAACACCAUUAAUUGCAGAUAAUGGGAGAACCAAAGGACGAAACUUACGAGGAAGAGCUUCUUGAUUACGAGGAAGAAGAAGACAAAGCUCCCGAUACCAACGGAGCUAAAGUCAACGGUGAAGCUACCAAGAAG